RNAcentral lists this ribosomal RNA (349 nucleotides) under uncultured bacterium. RNAcentral describes it as "bacterial SSU rRNA". It matches the Rfam family "Bacterial small subunit ribosomal RNA", at positions 917 to 1269 of the family's 1533-position model. The record is from RNAcentral.
GGGCCCGCACAAGCGGUGGAGCAUGUGGUUUAAUUCGAUGAUACGCGAGGAACCUUACCAGGGCUUAAAUGUAGGAUGCAUUAGCUAGAGAUAGCUAUUUCUUCGGACUUCUUACAAGGUGCUGCAUGGUUGUCGUCAGCUCGUGCCGUGAGGUGUCAGGUUAAGUCCUAUAACGAGCGCAACCCCUGUCGUUAGUUGCCAGCAUGUAAAGAUGGGGACUCUAACGAGACUGCCGGUGUAAACCGCGAGGAAGGUGGGGAUGACGUCAAAUCAUCACGGCCCUUACGUCCUGGCUACACACGUGCUACAAUGGUAUGGACAAUGAGCAGCCACUAUGCGAAUAGGAGCG